CUUCAAAAAAAAUAAAAACUGGCAUUAACCUGUCAAAAAAAAAACUGGCAUUAAACAGUAAAAAAAUGGCAAUAAUCAUUUUAGCUGGUGAGCCUAUAAAGUUUGGGCUUUAGUUGUCUGACCUUUAGAUUAACUUUGGAUCUCUUUAUUCAAAGUUGGAGUAAAGGUUGAUUUUAUGAAUUUUGCUUUUUAGACACUCUUCAUGUUGUUUUUAGACUAUUCAAAAUUUUAUUUUUAUCCUUAUAUAUAAAAGCAAAUCAUACACCACAUGAUCACUUUCAAUGGAGUUCAAAGCCUAACUUAGCAAAACAAAAAAUAGAGACAAUUCAUGCUUUGAAGUUGCAAUCAAACAGUGACAGAUGCAAUGCAAUGAGCUUCUUCAUUCUCUCAAUAGCCUCCAAACCUUCUCUUCAAUGACAGAAUUUUGUAUGAUCAGAUUUGUGAUCCACAAUGGAAAAUAGAUACAUAGAUAUAUACAAACAAUAAUACAAUGGUUAUGCAUUAGUUUUUUCUUGAAAAAUGCAAGCCAACUGAUGAUGCUCGGUAUAUAACAGAUACAAUUAAGUGACAAACAUUGGCUACUAUCUUUGAUUUUAUCUGCCCUCUCUUAGGAACUGGUGUUGAUCUUGAUCUUGAGCACUUCAUGUUUGCAAUUUCUGAAGCUUCAAAAUGAUGGACAGUAAUGGUAUUAUUGAUCAUUUUGCUAAAAAAUAAAUGGAUACCUUAAGCUAGAAGAAGAAUGAGUUUCAGAAAAUGGGGAUGAAUGAAUGAAUGAAUGAAAAGAAAGUGAAGUAUAUGAGUUUAUAUAGCUCCC
RNAcentral lists this long non-coding RNA (814 nucleotides) under Trifolium pratense (red clover). RNAcentral describes it as "long non-coding RNA (TPRA_LNC001211)". Lineage: Eukaryota; Viridiplantae; Streptophyta; Magnoliopsida; Fabales; Fabaceae. The record is from RNAcentral.